CGUGGGGUGACCGUCCCUGCGGGAGUGGGGAGAGCGGCUCUGGAGAGCGCAGCCCGGACGGAGUCAGUGACGCGGGAGUCACCGCGGCGAGUAAACGUAGCGCCCGUCCCCCGGUAGGUGCCGAAAGGACGAGAUUAAGUUGGCACCUGCUGUGUGGGCUAGGCGUUGUCCACAGCACCCUGUGUCCUCCCCCCGCCCCGCGAGGUAGGUGUUGCCAUCUUGUUUCCUCGGGGGACACCGAGGCUGGCGAGUGGUCGGCCUGCGACUGGAACCAGGUUCUUUCCUCCAUUCCGCACGGGAGCAUUUUAACCAGCAAUUAAACCAACCCUAUUUCUAGGAAUCAACAUGGCUCCUGAGCCCAUGAUGUUAUUUAGGAAGACGCCUCACCCCACUGCCAACUCCCACGCCACAUGGGCCAGUCCACGUCCUAACAUCUGUCAAGGCUCCUUUCUUGCUCCUUGCUUUACUCACCCUGCCUACUGUCCCAACAUCUGAACAGCAUUCCUUCCAGGGCCCUGCAAAGUCUCCCAAACUGCAGCCUCCAGCCCUCCCGGCCCAAGAAGAGCUCAGAGGAAGCUGAACUCCGACUUGAACAGGAGCAGGCACAGAAGGGGCAGGGGACCCGGGAACUGGAUAGGGUCUAGGGGCAGAGAGACUGAGGUUCUGGAAGAGAUCCUGAGACGCAGACAGGAGUGGGAAAGACAGGGUGGGAAGGCACGGGGGUGGGGCUGACGCUGCCAGGAGUGACAAAGGCACAGACGAUGGGAUGAAGAUGGGGUCACUGAGGGGCUGCCAGGAGCAGCCAGUGGACAAACGGAAGACAGUGGGAGAGACAGAUGGCGAUGGGGCUGGGCUGGCUGGUGCAGUGAGUGCACGAAGGACAGUGGGAUGGAUGGG
Molecule: long non-coding RNA, 897 nt
Organism: Equus quagga
Lineage: Eukaryota; Metazoa; Chordata; Mammalia; Perissodactyla; Equidae
Exons: 3
Source: RefSeq, a predicted model, not a curated record